Molecule: long non-coding RNA, 421 nt
Filed under: Setaria viridis
Lineage: Eukaryota; Viridiplantae; Streptophyta; Magnoliopsida; Poales; Poaceae
Description: long non-coding RNA (SVIR_LNC000247)
Source: RNAcentral
GGCAAUGGAAGAUAAGUGCAGAAAUAGCCUAAGAACAUCAAAGCACGCCGAGAAACCAGAAAGUCAGCUCAGCAGAAAUUUACUCACAAUAACACAAUUGGAGCUUUCUAAAGCAUCAAGCAAGCCUGGAAGAAGCAACAAAAAUAGAUAAGGUAUUCAUAUUGCGUGUGUGGUGAGUUUCUGUGUACAAAUUAGCAAUGCCACAUUUGCAGCAGAAAUAUGAGUAAAUGUUCAUGUGACAUCAGUCUGCAACAGAUCAAUUAUCAAUAUGAAUAAAAUCCACAAUUAAAACAAAUUGUUUCUCAAUUGUAAAUGUCAAGAAUCAUUCAUUUCCAAAUUCCAAUCUCAACUACCUUUCAGUGAAUAUCAGAUAUCAAUCAUCUCCAUCAAACACAUAUAACUUCAGCUUCCCUGACAUGGC